This 301-nucleotide ribosomal RNA is filed under the name uncultured bacterium. RNAcentral's name for it is "partial 16S ribosomal RNA". It matches the Rfam family "Bacterial small subunit ribosomal RNA", at positions 509 to 807 of the family's 1533-position model. The record is from RNAcentral.
CAGUAGCCGCGGUAAUACGAAGGGGGCUAGCGUUGCUCGGAAUGACUGGGCGUAAAGGGCGCGUAGGCGGCGAUCAAAGUCAGGCGUGAAAUUCCUGGGCUCAACCUGGGGGCUGCGCUUGAUACUGGGUUGCUUGAGUGGGGAAGAGGGUCGUGGAAUUCCCAGUGUAGAGGUGAAAUUCGUAGAUAUUGGGAAGAACACCGGUGGCGAAGGCGGCGACCUGGUCCUUUACUGACGCUGAGGCGCGAAAGCGUGGGGAGCAAACAGGAUUAGAUACCCGUGUAGUCCCUGUCUCUUAUAC